Molecule: ribosomal RNA, 306 nt
Filed under: uncultured bacterium
Lineage: Bacteria
Description: partial 16S ribosomal RNA
Rfam family: Bacterial small subunit ribosomal RNA
Source: RNAcentral
GACAGCAGCCGCCGCGGGAAUACAGAGGGUGCGAGCGUUAAUCGGAUUUACUGGGCGUAAAGCGUGCGUAGGCGGCUUUUUAAGUCGGAUGUGAAAUCCCUGAGCUUAACUUAGGAAUUGCAUUCGAUACUGGGAAGCUAGAGUAUGGGAGAGGAUGGUAGAAUUCCAGGUGUAGCGGUGAAAUGCGUAGAGAUCUGGAGGAAUACCGAUGGCGAAGGCAGCCAUCUGGCCUAAUACUGACGCUGAGGUACGAAAGCAUGGGGAGCAAACAGGAUUAGAUACCCCUGUAGUCCCUGUCUCUUAUAC